Long non-coding RNA from Sorghum bicolor (sorghum), 961 nucleotides. RefSeq lists it as uncharacterized. The record is from RefSeq and is a predicted model, not a curated record. The transcript is spliced from 5 exons. NCBI's taxonomy places the organism in Eukaryota, Viridiplantae, Streptophyta, Magnoliopsida, Poales, Poaceae.
CACACGCCGCACACACACAGCCACACACACGCGCCGCACACGCCUGCCUCUUCGAGAGCUCGCGGCCGCCGCCGCUGGCAGCCGGCCGCCCUCCGUACCCCGACCGCCUGCUGCCCGCCGGCCGCCCCUGCGGGUUUGCCCCACUCGCGGCGUGGUCCUCCGGCAUCUGACCGGCCGCGCGGCCGCACCACCGCCAGCCGGGGCGCCGACCUUCCCUGCUCGCCCGCUACGAGAGGCCGCGGCCCUCCCCGGCUCGCCGGCCGCCGUUGGCCGAGGUGAUUGGAGGAGAUCCAGAACGCCAUCUCCGAAGGUGAGGAACGCCGAGAUCUAGAACUCCAUCUCCGAAGGUGAGAAACCGAGCGCUCGCCGACCCUGCCCCACCCCAGAGGCGAGUUCUGCAGGCCUACGACUGUGCUGCAACCCUGACUGGGGCUGAGCUUGUCCGUCCAAGCCAUCCUGUCGCCUCCAGGUCCACACAUCUUGAGCUCCUCCAGAACACCAGUGCUCCCAUUCGAAGAACUGCAGUGGUGCCUUGUGGAAAGCUUGAGAUGUAGAUACUAGCUGACGUGCUUGAUCAAAAACAAGACAAGAUGGUGAAAAGGAUCAAACUGCUUCUGUUCAGCUAGAUUAGGUAAAAGAUGGACGGUGGGCAAGCCAGUGGGUGAGGACAGUGCGCUCGGCAGCGAAGCAUCAAUCGGGGACAUCGUCAAACCAUGUCAGAGGGUCGAAGGCAUCGCACGCCGGGCCAUCCCCAGCUGGACCGUUGCCGGGAUCGCACAUUGGGGCGUCCCAACCCUCGCCGGCAUCGCACAGUGGACUGUCGCCGUGAGCCGUCUUCGGAGUCGUUUUUAUGUAUUGAACUUGUCUUGGAAUAAUGUGUACUUUUGAACAUGCGGUUUGUAAUAUAAUGUGGAUUUUGUACAAAUUUGACCGUUGAUAUAUAAAUGUGGUUUGUGAUAUA